RNA transcript from Xiphias gladius (swordfish), 2485 nucleotides. It is a transcript of the gene named phenylalanine hydroxylase, with no coding region annotated. The transcript is spliced from 12 exons. The record is from RefSeq and is a predicted model, not a curated record. NCBI's taxonomy places the organism in Eukaryota, Metazoa, Chordata, Actinopteri, Istiophoriformes, Xiphiidae.
GUAUUUCUCUUUGUGCACAGGAAAAGCAAUAUCAAAGAACUUUUUGAGCUUUUCUCUGAGGGCAGGGGCAUAUAUUGCUUCCAAAGCUGGUAAAAUCCCCGAACAUUAAACAUACUUGACUGUUAGACUAUUGUAAUUUAAAUGUUGUCAUCCCAGUGCUUUACCCUUCUGUUCAUCGUGCUAAAUGCAAAGAAUGUACAAAAUAUUAAGGGGCAUCUUCCACGUAUUUAAAUGCAGCCCCUUUUCUCACCAUCUGUAUCUUAAUUCUCUCAGCGUUUAAAAAUCUCUGACUCGUCGAAUUAUUUGUGUCUAGACUAGAUCCUCUCCUGGCUCAUCAGUUUUAAAAGCUCCGUAUGCAUAAUACAUUCAGUGUAGUUAAAAUUAUUUUAUGUUUCGUAUUCUUGAAUUUAUAGAGAAUUCCUACAGGAAUUAAGUUAAAUAAUUGAAAAUUUAAUUCCUUUAAUAUGUUAUGUCUGCAGCCGGCGAAUAGAUAAUAUGACAUCACAAAAAAGAGUGAUCUCUGUCAUCUUUUCUUUCAAAUGCCAGCCCGGACUCUGUCUUUGGACAGGUCUGUAUCAGUUCAGGGGGACGCAGGACCACAUGGACCUCAAAAAGCCUGUUAUGUGUUGAAUGGGAUCCAGAUGGGAGAAAACGGGAGGCCCUGCUGCUCACGCCCUCCCUCUUUACUUGGCCUAUAGAAGACAGAGAACAACACACUCCCUCUCCCUCCCCAAAAGUUACAUAGACAAUAAACACAUUUUUGAUUGCAAUUACCGCUUGAGGAAAAAUGCUUUCCAACGCGAGCCAGAGCCUCUUCGUUUUGUCAUCAUGUCCAAAAACGUCUAGAACCUUCCCAUGGCACUUGUGUUCAUGCUGCAGCAUGAGGAAAGCCCUAAAUGGCAGCAGGUCAGGGGGAUUUAUCUGACCAUUUUUGCCCCCAAGCCAUUACAGUAUGUCCCCAAUGCCUUUGCUGUGCAAGUCCUGUCUGUCUGGCUCGGCUUCAGUUUGCAGAGAGAGAGAGAGAGUUCAAGGCAGCCCUUGCCCGAGAUCAGGGUGGACUACACCGAGCCUGAGAAACGGAGAAGGGCAUCAACCUGACGCACAUCGAGUCUCGCCCGUCACGGAUGAACAAAGACCAGUACGAGUUCUUCAUCAGCGUGGACUCCACCUGCUCCCAGGCCUUGGAUGAGGUCAUUGACGGCCUGCGUACACAAAUCAGCGGCCACGUGCACGAGCUGUCACGCAACAAACAGAAGGAUACAGUGCCAUGGUUCCCUAAUGACAUCCAGGACUUGGACCGCUUCGCCAACCAGAUCCUCAGUUACGGCUCCGAGCUGGAUGCAGAUCACCCGGGUUUCACAGAUCCAGUGUACAGAACCCGCAGGAAGGAGUUUGCUGACAUUGCCUACAACUACAGACAUGGCCAGAGCAUCCCUAGAGUGGAGUACACAGAGGAGGAAAAGGCCACGUGGGGCACGGUGUUCAAGGAGCUGAAGACUCUGUACCCGACUCACGCCUGCCGCGAGCACAACCGGGUCUUCCCCCUGCUGGAGAAAUACUGCGGCUACAGGCAGGACAACAUCCCACAGCUGGAGGAUGUGUCCCGCUUCCUGCAGUCGUGCACAGGUUUCCGGCUUCGCCCCGUGGCCGGCCUGCUCUCGUCCCGGGACUUCCUGGCCGGCCUCGCCUUCCGCGUCUUCCAUUCCACGCAGUACAUCCGCCACGGCUCCAAGCCCACGUACACACCUGAGCCGGAUAUCUGCCAUGAGCUCCUGGGGCACGUUCCUCUGUUUGCUGACCCUAGUUUUGCCCAGUUCUCACAGGAAAUCGGACUUGCCUCCCUCGGUGCCCCCGACGAGUACAUUGAGAAGCUUGCUACUGUGUACUGGUUCACAGUGGAGUUUGGCCUGUGCAAGCAGGGCUCGGAGAUCAAAGCGUAUGGAGCUGGCUUGCUUUCAUCGUUUGGAGAGCUGCAGUACUGCUUGACAGACAAGCCCCAACUCCAGCCCUUUGACCCCGACAAGACCAGCCUCCAGAAGUACCCGAUCACAGAGUACCAGCCCGUUUACUUCGUUGCCGAGAGCUUUGAGGAUGGCAAAGAGAAAGUCAGGAAAUUCGCGGCCACCAUCCCCAGGCCUUUCACGGUGCGCUACAACCCCUACACCCAGAGUAUCGAAGUGCUGGACAACACCCAGCAGCUCAGGAACCUGGCUGACAGCAUCGGUAGUACGUAUCGCUCGUACUUUAGCUAUUCUAGUGCCCAGAGAGGACAAAACAGUCUCCUUUCCUUUAGGUAAAUUUACUGGUUCUCAAAGCAGUGGUCUUCCCAACUUUUUUUUUUUUUUUUUUUUGUUUCUGACCCGUUAAAAUGAAGCAGCGUCCACUUGUGACCCAUCAUCCCCGGUUCCAUACAGGUUUACAGGUGAAAUGGGGAAACUAUGUGAAGCCCUGCGGAAGCUGGCGUAACUGCACAUGUAACCUGAGC